ACUCCUACGGGAGGCAGCAGUGGGGAAUAUUGCACAAUGGGGAAACCCUGAUGCAGCCAUGCCGCGUGUGUGAAGAAGGCCUCGGUUGUAAAGCACUUCAGUAGGGAGGAAGGUAGUGUAGUUAACACCUGCAUUAUUUGACGUUACCUACAGAAGAAGCACCGGCUAACUCCGUGCCAGCAGCCGCGGUAAUACGGAGGGGUGCGAGCGUUAAUCGGAAUUACUGGGCGUAAAGCGCAUGCAGGCGGCCUGUUAAGUCAGAUGUGAAAGCCCGGGGGCUUAACCUCGGAAUUGCAUUUGAAACUGGCAGGCUAGAGUCUUGUAGAGGGGGUAGAAUUUCAGGUGUAGCGGUGAAAUGCGUAGAGAUCUGAAGGAAUACCAGUGGCGAAGGCGGCCCCCUGGACAAAGACUGACGCUCAGAUGCGAAAGCGUGGGGAGCAAACAGGAUUAGAUACCCUGGUAGCACAGAG
This 470-nucleotide ribosomal RNA is filed under the name uncultured bacterium. RNAcentral describes it as "bacterial SSU rRNA". It matches the Rfam family "Bacterial small subunit ribosomal RNA", at positions 335 to 799 of the family's 1533-position model. The record is from RNAcentral.